AGUAUAAAGGAGGAACAAAGAAUAUCUUCCUCAUCUAUCUCCUAGGAAUGUCCUGAAGAUAAAAUGAUAUGAAGUUGGAAAAAGCAUAAGCCCGGCUAUCAAAGACAAAAACCGGACAAGUAAGGACAUUCAUUUUAUUCAGCCUACUGCAAUAAAAGCAGACACCCGACAAGAUUAGAUUGCCUCAGGAGUUUGAGUUGGACUUUUACAGGGAAGAACACGCAAGGUGCAGGCAGGCUGCACCCACCUGUAACCCCUAGGAGCAGUUGAUUUCACUCACCUGGAAGUCAGUCUCAGCAUCCAAAGAAUCAUCAGUCUGGCAUCGAAACGUAACUGAAAAACAAUCAAAUAUCUUCCAAAGGACAAACAGCAUUAUUCUCAUGGUUAAAAGAAGCUAUUAUGGCAGCUUAAGGGGUGUGGGUUUCAGAUGGAGUGGGGAUGUGCUCCAGGCCUACCAUCAGCGCCACUGGGAAGGAUGGAGAAGAUGGGUAUCUGCCAAUAAUCCCCUAAUGGUGUGCUGAUCCCAAGCAGUAACCUACAUUGUCAGAGAGUUCUGCAAAGAGCUCGAUAUAAAGAUCCUAGGAGCCCUGAUUCGGAGAGCCAAGGACAUAAAAUUGGAAAUAAAUACACCAGCCAGAAGGUGAAAUGGGGUCCACUCUGUUUCAUGGCCACUGUAAUUACUAAUAAAUAGGAUGCGAGUGCUGUUGGGGCCUGGCUUGCAUGGAGCUCCGGAACACGUUUUCCUGUCUUCUGCAAAUCUAGGAAAGAGGGAACGACAAGGGCUCUAGUACCCAAUGUCCCAGUGAAGGGGAGUGGCUUGCCAAGGCCACACAGAGCAGAGCUGGAGUUUGGCUGCAGCCCCCCAGCCCCAACCCACCCUGAGGGACCUGCACACAGACUGUGC
Prionailurus viverrinus (fishing cat) is the source of this 904-nucleotide long non-coding RNA. RefSeq lists it as uncharacterized. The record is from RefSeq and is a predicted model, not a curated record. Lineage: Eukaryota; Metazoa; Chordata; Mammalia; Carnivora; Felidae. The transcript has 4 exons.